UGGGGAAUAUUGCACAAUGGGGGAAACCCUGAUGCAGCGACGCCGCGUGAGCGAAGAAGGUUUUCGAAUCGUAAAGCUCUGUCCUAUGGGAAGAUAAUGACGGUACCAUAGGAGGAAGCCCCGGCUAACUACGUGCCAGCAGCCGCGGUAAUACGUAGGGGGCAAGCGUUGUCCGGAAUCACUGGGCGUAAAGGGUUCGCAGGCGGAAAUGCAAGUCAGUUGUGAAAGGCAGAGGCUCAACCUCUGUAAGCAAUUGAAACUGUAUUUCUUGGGAUGUGGAGAGGGAAGUGGAAUUAAUAGUGUAGCGGUGAAAUGCGUAGAUAUUAGGAAGAAUACCGGGAGAGAAAGCGGCUUGCUGGAAACAAACAGACGCUGAGGAACGAAAGCGUGGGUAGCAAACAGG
RNAcentral lists this ribosomal RNA (403 nucleotides) under Fusobacteriota bacterium. RNAcentral describes it as "Fusobacteria bacterium partial 16S ribosomal RNA". It matches the Rfam family "Bacterial small subunit ribosomal RNA", at positions 355 to 776 of the family's 1533-position model. Lineage: Bacteria; Fusobacteriati; Fusobacteriota. The record is from RNAcentral.